This 2007-nucleotide long non-coding RNA is filed under the name Triticum aestivum (bread wheat). RNAcentral describes it as "long non-coding RNA (TAES_LNC006023)". The record is from RNAcentral. Lineage: Eukaryota; Viridiplantae; Streptophyta; Magnoliopsida; Poales; Poaceae.
UGCUAACAACAGGAAUUCUGCACCAACCAAAGUUUGGAAGUACAUUAUCAAAGACAUGGUCGUUACAUACUUUCCAAAUGUAUCAAUGCACCAAGUCUCAAUACAGCAAUUUCCAUGGCAAAUAGUUUAUUUAUCUAUUCUUUAACCAUCUUAUCCCUCCAAUAAUUUGGUUGCCUUUUCUCCAUUAGCAUUGCAAGGCAAAUGAAAAAUCCAAGAAAAAUACGGCCAUAUUCCUUACAUGAGCACUUGAGCCGGCAGAAGAUUUCCAACGCAAAUUGAGAUGGAUUAGAAACUUGAGAGGUGCCCAUCAGCUGUUUGCAAUCUUUCAGUGCGGGAAAAAGUGCAGGUAUUCACUCCACUUGUUUGACCAAGAGAGCCCUCAACUUUUAAUAUGCCCGCCAAAAGACUAAGGCAUGCCAUGGAAUCAGGAGACCUGCUGAUUAGUACCAGUAGAUGUCAAUAAGGAUGCUCGUAGUUACACAAAAUACUCCCAAUAUGCAAUCCCAAUACAAAAUAUAGCAAUAGAUGUAUUACUAUUCCCAACAAAAAGAUAGAUCACAUGACGUCAUGCAUGGGAGGAAGAAAGACAAAUGCAUCAAGUAGCAGAACAGGGCAAGAACACAACCCACUUUUUAUUUUUUGCAUUUAUUCUCAGCAUAGAAGAACUAUACAAUUAGAACAAAAAAUACUGCCAUGAGACGGUACAUAAAAGAUUCCUUGCCACCGGACCACAAAUGAAAGGCAACAAUAUUGCAAGUGAGAGUAAUAAACAUGGUCACAAAGCUGAUGGCACCUAGAUUGGUAAUGGCCUAUUUGCAAAGGAGAACGCCCUCAAUGUCGUGGUUCUCUAAAGUAUUUCAUGAAGAUUUGCACGCUACUUACAAUAAGAAGGGAACAUUACUUGGAGAUGCCAAAUCAUUUUAGAGCAAACGAAAGAUGAAGAUUUGAGCACCCACUUCACUACUCCUUUGGCAAAUUUUGGGUCAUUCCCAUAAUCAAAUUGAGAAGAAAAAACACAAUAAUCCAAUGAGUCUACACCACCAACAAAAAUGAAAUUGUGUACAUUUUGAUACAAAUGUACAUAUGAAUAUAUCAGCAAAGUUCAACAAAUUGAUAUACUGAACCCUUUAUAACUGGUGAUGCACAAAUAUUGAACCAUACAUAACCGGCGAUUAUUUGCUAAAUUUAGGUGGCAAUGGUUACCAUGAAGGUCAUGAUAAUGGGAAUGAACAAAGCAUUGUAAAUGGAAAAUCAGAAUAUGAUGUGGAAUCCCAUACCUUCAAAAGAAUUCUACAACGCUGCAAAAGUAAAACAGUGUUGGAACUAUGAAGUUUCCUUAGAGGAAAACAAAACUUAUAUUACCAUCAUAGUGCAGCCAUGAAGUAUUUUCAAGCAUAAAGCAACCAUUGGUUGAGAAUGAUAUACCCACGCAUGGUGUUUAAUGACAGAACAUUAAUGCACUUUUAGUAUGCAAUCCAUAUCUUCAUCUGCAUCCUGUACAGUGCCAAAACAGGAGUGGUGUUACAUUAACUUCACUGAUUUAUAUCAUUGAUAUCUCAAAUUAAAGUUGUCAUGUGGCCAAAGCCCCCAGCCAACUUCAUGAAAAAGAGAACGGAUCUGUGACAACACUAAAAUAAUCAUACUGGUAUGCAUCAGUAAUCCUAUAUGAUAAAACACAUGUGCUUUUGAAAUCAAUAUAAUGCAAGAGGGAACGUUGGAUUAAACUUUGCAUGACCUGGCAAGCAUGACACAAUUUUGGAGCAAUGGUGCAGACACCAACCUGAUGUUGAAGACUAUGGGAGCGAUGCCGCUCCACUGUCUGAAGGGGAAUUUUUGCGGGAGCACGUGAAGUCGCCGAGAGGCGGCGUCGUUGUCGCUUUCUGGGCAGCAAGGAGGUGGUGGAGGUCGUCCUUCAGGAGGCAGAGUCGUUGACUCCGGGCGCCUCAAGUCUGCAGCGUAGUGGUCCUGCACCGUAUCUCCCUCUUCCCUAACUCCGCCGAACCCCAC